GACCUGGCUCAGGAUGAACGCUAGCUACAGGCUUAACACAUGCAAGUCGAGGGGCAUCAGGAAGAAAGCUUGCUUUCUUUGCUGGCGACCGGCGCACGGGUGAGUAACACGUAUCCAACCUGCCCUUUACUCGGGGAUAGCCUUUCGAAAGAAAGAUUAAUACCCGAUAGCAUAAUGAUUCCGCAUGGUUUCAUUAUUAAAGGAUUCCGGUAAAGGAUGGGGAUGCGUUCCAUUAGGUUGUUGGUGAGGUAACGG
RNAcentral lists this ribosomal RNA (255 nucleotides) under uncultured bacterium. RNAcentral describes it as "partial 16S ribosomal RNA". It matches the Rfam family "Bacterial small subunit ribosomal RNA", at positions 16 to 263 of the family's 1533-position model. The record is from RNAcentral.